GGCACCUCGGGAUCUGGAAAGUUUGUAAAGAAAAGAUCCGGGUCCCACGCAGAGGUCACGUCCCUCUCAUCGUCCUCUCCGGGAGGGUCCUCCGACUUCAGACUCACGUGAAGGGAUGGCCCCGUGGGAUUCGGAGGCCCCGGGCCCAAAUCCUGCGUCUCCUCUGACCGCCACCACUGCGGGAGGGAGCGCACUGCGUCAAUGGAACAGACUUCACCUUGGCCUGUUCGGGAAUUGGUUCCUGAAAACCAAUCCUGUAUGUAAAGACUGAACUGCUGCCAAAGAAGACUGAGCUCACCCC
Molecule: long non-coding RNA, 301 nt
Organism: Grammomys surdaster
Lineage: Eukaryota; Metazoa; Chordata; Mammalia; Rodentia; Muridae
Exons: 3
Source: RefSeq, a predicted model, not a curated record